Molecule: ribosomal RNA, 567 nt
Filed under: Salmonella enterica
Lineage: Bacteria; Pseudomonadati; Pseudomonadota; Gammaproteobacteria; Enterobacterales; Enterobacteriaceae
Description: partial 23S ribosomal RNA
Rfam family: Bacterial large subunit ribosomal RNA
Source: RNAcentral
GCGGCCGUAACUAUAACGGUCCUAAGGUAGCGAAAUUCCUUGUCGGGUAAGUUCCGACCUGCACGAAUGGCGUAAUGAUGGCCAGGCUGUCUCCACCCGAGACUCAGUGAAAUUGAACUCGCUGUGAAGAUGCAGUGUACCCGCGGCAAGACGGAAAGACCCCGUGAACCUUUACUAUAGCUUGACACUGAACAUUGAGCCUUGAUGUGUAGGAUAGGUGGGAGGCUUUGAAGCGUGGACGCCAGUCUGCGUGGAGCCGACCUUGAAAUACCACCCUUUAAUGUUUGAUGUUCUAACGUGGACCCGUAAUCCGGGUUGCGGACAGUGUCUGGUGGGUAGUUUGACUGGGGCGGUCUCCUCCUAAAGAGUAACGGAGGAGCACGAAGGUUGGCUAAUCCUGGUCGGACAUCAGGAGGUUAGUGCAAUGGCAUAAGCCAGCUUGACUGCGAGCGUGACGGCGCGAGCAGGUGCGAAAGCAGGUCAUAGUGAUCCGGUGGUUCUGAAUGGAAGGGCCAUCGCUCAACGGAUAAAAGGUACUCCGGGGAUAACAGGCUGAUACCGCCCAAG